AUUGAACGCUGGCGGCAGGCCUAACACAUGCAAGUCGAGCGGAUGAAGGGAGCUUGCUCCUGGAUUCAGCGGCGGACGGGUGAGUAAUGCCUAGGAAUCUGCCUGGUAGUGGGGGAUAACGUCCGGAAACGGGCGCUAAUACCGCAUACGUCCUGAGGGAGAAAGUGGGGGGUCUUCGGACCUCACGCUAUCAGAUGAGCCUAGGUCGGAUUAGCUAGUUGGUGGGGUAAAGGCCUACCAAGCCGACGAUCCGUAACUGGUCUGAGAGGAUGAUCAGUCACACUGGAACGGAGACACGGACCAGACUCCUACGGGAGGCAGCAGUGGGGAAUAUUGGACAAUGGGCGAAAGCCUGAUCCAGCCAUGCCGCGUGUGUGAAGAAGGUCUUCGGAUUGUAAAGCACUUUAAGUUGGGAGGAAGGGCAGUAAGUUAAUACCUUGCGGUUUUGACGUUACCAACAGAAUAAGCACCGGCUAACUUCGUG
RNAcentral lists this ribosomal RNA (484 nucleotides) under uncultured bacterium. RNAcentral's name for it is "partial 16S ribosomal RNA". It matches the Rfam family "Bacterial small subunit ribosomal RNA", at positions 30 to 507 of the family's 1533-position model. The record is from RNAcentral.